This 305-nucleotide ribosomal RNA is filed under the name uncultured bacterium. Its description in RNAcentral is "bacterial SSU rRNA". It matches the Rfam family "Bacterial small subunit ribosomal RNA", at positions 334 to 656 of the family's 1533-position model. The record is from RNAcentral.
CGUUCCUACGGGGCGCAGCAGUUAGGAAUAUUCGUCAAUGGGGGAAACCCUGAUGCAGCGACGCCGCGUGAGUGAAGAAGUAUCUCGGUAUGUAAAGCUCUAUCAGCAGGAAAGAUAAUGACGGUACCUGACUAAGAAGCCCCGGCUAACUACGUGCCAGCAGCCGCGGUAAUACGUAGGGGGCAAGCGUUAUCCGGAUUUACUGGGUGUAAAGGGAGCGUAGACGGCAGCGCAAGUCUGGAGUGAAAUGCCGGGGCCCAACCCCGGAACUGCUUUGGAAACUGUGCGGCUCGAGUGCGGGAGAG